RNAcentral lists this transfer-messenger RNA (169 nucleotides) under Bifidobacterium longum. Its description in RNAcentral is "partial transfer-messenger RNA". It matches the Rfam family "transfer-messenger RNA", at positions 202 to 374 of the family's 374-position model. Rfam says of the family: Bacterial tmRNA, also known as 10Sa RNA or SsrA, is named for its dual tRNA and mRNA-like properties. Lineage: Bacteria; Bacillati; Actinomycetota; Actinomycetes; Bifidobacteriales; Bifidobacteriaceae. The record is from RNAcentral.
CGUUUCAACUUUCCGUCUGUAAGUUGAAAAAGAGAACAUCAGACUAGCGAUACAGAAUGCCUGUCACUCGGCAAGCUGUAAAGCGAACCUCUAAAUGAGUUGACUAUGAACGUAGAUUUUUAAGUGGCGAUGUGUUUGGACGCGGGUUCGACUCCCGCCGUCUCCAUUC